AUUGAGACUUUAACAUUUUCAUGCAAUUUAUAUCAACAUGAUAUGCUAGAGUGUCGGUUU
Molecule: microRNA precursor, 60 nt
Filed under: Tribolium castaneum (red flour beetle)
Lineage: Eukaryota; Metazoa; Arthropoda; Insecta; Coleoptera; Tenebrionidae
Description: Tca-Mir-11624-P2_pre stem-loop
Source: RNAcentral